GAUGAACGCUGGCGGCGUGCCUAAUACAUGCAAGUCGAGCGAACGGACGAGAAGCUUGCUUUUCUGAUGUUAGCGGCGGACGGGUGAGUAACACGUGGAUAACCUACCUAUAAGACUGGGAUAACUUCGGGAAACCGGAGCUAAUACCGGAUAAUAUUUUGAACCGCAUGGUUCAAAAGUGAAAGACGGUCUUGCUGUCACUUAUAGAUGGAUCCGCGCUGCAUUAGCUAGUUGGUAAGGUAACGGCUUACCAAGGCAACGAUGCAUAGCCGACCUGAGAGGGUGAUCGGCCACACUGGAACUGAGACACGGUCCAGACUCCUACGGGAGGCAGCAGUAGGGAAUCUUCCGCAAUGGGCGAAAGCCUGACGGAGCAACGCCGCGUGAGUGAUGAAGGUCUUCGGAUCGUAAAACUCUGUUAUUAGGGAAGAACAUAUGUGUAAGUAACUGUGCACAUCUUGACGGUACCUAAUCAGAAAGCCACGGCUAACUACGUGCCAGCAGCCGCGGUAAUACGUAGGUGGCAAGCGUUAUCCGGAAUUAUUGGGCGUAAAGCGCGCGUAGGCGGUUUUUUAAGUCUGAUGUGAAAGCCCACGGCUCAACCGUGGAGGGUCAUUGGAAACUGGAAAACUUGAGUGCAGAAGAGGAAAGUGGAAUUCCAUGUGUAGCGGUGAAAUGCGCAGAGAUAUGGAGGAACACCAGUGGCGAAGGCGACUUUCUGGUCUGUAACUGACGCUGAUGUGCGAAAGCGUGGGGAUCAAACAGGAUUAGAUACCCUGGUAGUCCACGCCGUAAACGAUGAGUGCUAAGUGUUAGGGGGUUUCCGCCCCUUAGUGCUGCAGCUAACGCAUUAAGCACUCCGCCUGGGGAGUACGACCGCAAGGUUGAAACUCAAAGGAAUUGACGGGGACCCGCACAAGCGGUGGAGCAUGUGGUUUAAUUCGAAGCAACGCGAAGAACCUUACCAAAUCUUGACAUCCUCUGACCCCUCUAGAGAUAGAGUUUUCCCCUUCGGGGGACAGAGUGACAGGUGGUGCAUGGUUGUCGUCAGCUCGUGUCGUGAGAUGUUGGGUUAAGUCCCGCAACGAGCGCAACCCUUAAGCUUAGUUGCCAUCAUUAAGUUGGGCACUCUAAGUUGACUGCCGGUGACAAACCGGAGGAAGGUGGGGAUGACGUCAAAUCAUCAUGCCCCUUAUGAUUUGGGCUACACACGUGCUACAAUGGACAAUACAAAGGGCAGCGAAACCGCGAGGUCAAGCAAAUCCCAUAAAGUUGUUCUCAGUUCGGAUUGUAGUCUGCAACUCGACUACAUGAAGCUGGAAUCGCUAGUAAUCGUAGAUCAGCAUGCUACGGUGAAUACGUUCCCGGGUCU
RNAcentral lists this ribosomal RNA (1372 nucleotides) under uncultured bacterium. RNAcentral describes it as "bacterial SSU rRNA". It matches the Rfam family "Bacterial small subunit ribosomal RNA", at positions 28 to 1381 of the family's 1533-position model. The record is from RNAcentral.